This 103-nucleotide ribosomal RNA is filed under the name Prasinococcus capsulatus. Its description in RNAcentral is "partial 5.8S ribosomal RNA". The record is from RNAcentral. Lineage: Eukaryota; Viridiplantae; Prasinodermophyta; Palmophyllophyceae; Prasinococcales; Prasinococcaceae.
CUUGGAACAAAGCGUUGAAGAUCUGGAGACAGAAAACAGCGCACUGCGAAAAUCCAAAGAAAGCCAGGUUGCCGAGGAUCAGCGGCACUUUGAAAGCAUGAAG